AUGAAACGGACAAGGGUGGGAGGAAAUCUCCUGCCGGACGGAAGAGGGUGUGAAAGUGUGAUGGCCUCACCGUACAAUCCCCACCGGCGGCAGCUGGGCGGGGGGCAGUCCGCCUGGCCGGAUCUCCCGCCGGAGCUCCUGGAGAGCGUCCUAGGGCGGCUCGCCCCGCUCGACCGUGUCGCCGUCCGCCUCGUCUGCUCCUCUUGGCGCUCGUGCGCGCGAGCUUCGAUCUCGGCUGACCUCCCCUUCGAGGCCCCGCGCCUCCUGCUCCGGCGCCCCGGCUCCUGCGGCGGCCUCGCCUUCUUCAGCCUCCACCGCCGCGAGAUCCUGCCUUUCGCCCUCCCCGACCGCCUCAGCUCCGGCCGGUGCUGCGGCCAGAUCGGCGGCUGGCUCGCCAUGGCCUUCGACGAGGAGCGGGCGAUCGAGCUCCGCAACCUCUUCUCCGGCCAAUCCGUGCCCCUGCCGCGGUCCCCCGUGUUCCCGGUGGCCAAGAUCGUGCUGUCCGCGCCGCCCACCUCGCUUGGCUGGGUGGCCGCCGUGCUGGGCCGCGCCGGCACGGUGGCGCUGCUCCAGCCGGACGUGUCUGGCGGCGCCUGGAUCACGAUCGCCGCCGGGGGGCCGCACGGCGGGUUCCGGGACGUGGCGUUGUGGCGGGGGCGGCUGUGCGCGCUGGGCGACGACGGCACGGUCCUGGCGUACCGUGUCGACCUCCGCGCGCGCGUGGCGGCCGUGUCGGAGCUGCGCGGGAAGGACGCCAACCCUCUGAACCGGCUGGAGCGGCGGGUGCGGUACCUGCUGGAGUCGGACGGGGAGCUCCUGCUGGUGAAGAAGCUGUACAGCGUGGUGCGGGACUCGGCGGACGUGGAGGUGGAGGUGAGCCGGUUCCGGCCGGAGGGGUGCAAGUGGGAGUCGGUGACGGAGCUCCCCGGGAGGGCGGUGUUCCUGGGGUCGGUGGCGUCGGCGGCGGCGCCGGCGACGGCGGGGGUCCGGGAGAACUGCGUCUACUUCGCGCGGCGGGACGUGGAGCUGAUGGUGCCGCACGCCAUCGGCGUGUACUCGCUGGGGGACCGGGAGACGGCGGUGGUGGCCAUCGCGGGCGGGCACUCCGUGGAGGUGGAGCCCGUGUGGAUCCUCCCCUCGGUCGCCUGA
This 1149-nucleotide ribosomal RNA is filed under the name Triticum aestivum (bread wheat). RNAcentral describes it as "partial small subunit ribosomal RNA". The record is from RNAcentral. Lineage: Eukaryota; Viridiplantae; Streptophyta; Magnoliopsida; Poales; Poaceae.